CGCUGCAUGGAUCUCUGGGAGUAGUAGUUUCUGUGAAACUCCAUCUACAGUAAACCAGCCACACAUUCGCCCUCCCUGAAGGGGAGAGCCUUCCCCCACUUCUCCUCGAUUUUCUGAGUCUAAGAAAGAGUACAGGAUUCCUAGAGUCUACACGUGCCACUGGUCAGAACCAUGCUUUCACGUCGAUUUUUAGAACAAUGCAGGGAAAGAUGAGAGAAAAAGAGAGGGGAAAAAAUAAAGUUCCAUUCAUUCUUCAAGCAAAUGUCAUCUCCUCCAAAGAUGUUUUUCUAGAUUCCUGGAACUCUUUUGGGUGGAGGUGAAGGGUCUAGCGUGGAAGAGGAGCUCAAGGUGGGCAUCUACCUGUGAGUGCUGGAGAACUACGCGGGACGGCGACCAGGGGUUUAGGGAGAUCGCAGUGGGG
Long non-coding RNA from Canis lupus familiaris (dog), 421 nucleotides. RefSeq lists it as uncharacterized. The transcript is spliced from 3 exons. The record is from RefSeq and is a predicted model, not a curated record. Lineage: Eukaryota; Metazoa; Chordata; Mammalia; Carnivora; Canidae.